UUCAACAGAAGAAAGUCAAACACAUCUGGGAUGGCAUGAGAGUCAGUGGGAGGUAUUGGACACUUUUGGAAAUCCGCUGAUAAAGCCUCUUUUGAAGCAGUGUCUGCUUCCUCAUUUCCUGGAAUUCCACAGUGUCCAGAAAACCCUCCAUCAUGUUUCAGUCAAACCUUCAGUUAUAGAGUUUACAAGAACAUAAUGGGUCAUCGUGUUCCUGCUCUGUGGGAAAACAGGGAAUUGAGGAAGACUAAUAGCAGAUUAAUAAUAAAACCGA
Molecule: long non-coding RNA, 271 nt
Organism: Xyrauchen texanus (razorback sucker)
Lineage: Eukaryota; Metazoa; Chordata; Actinopteri; Cypriniformes; Catostomidae
Exons: 4
Source: RefSeq, a predicted model, not a curated record